RNAcentral lists this ribosomal RNA (459 nucleotides) under uncultured bacterium. Its description in RNAcentral is "partial 16S ribosomal RNA". It matches the Rfam family "Bacterial small subunit ribosomal RNA", at positions 338 to 795 of the family's 1533-position model. The record is from RNAcentral.
CCUACGGCGGCAGCAGUGAGGAAUACUGGUCAAUGGGCGCGAGCCUGAACCAGCCAAGUAGCGUGAAGGAUGACUGCCCUACGGGUUGUAAACUUCUUUUAUAAAGGAAUAAAAUGAGGCACGUGUGCCUUUUUGUAUGUACUUUAUGAAUAAGGAUCGGCUAACUCCGUGCCAGCAGCCGCGGUAAUACGGAGGAUCCGAGCGUUAUCCGGAUUUAUUGGGUUUAAAGGGAGCGUAGAUGGGUUGUUAAGUCAGUUGUGAAAGCUUGCGGCUCAACCGUAAAAUUGCAAUUGAUACUUGCAGGCUUGAGUACAGAUGAGGUAGGAGGAAUGCGUGGUGUAGCGGUGAAAUGCUUAGAUAUCACGAAGAACACCGAUUGCGAAGGCAGCUUACUAAACUGCCACUGACAUUGAUGCUCGAAAGUGUGGGUAUCAAACAGGAUUAGAUACCCGGGUAGUC